Long non-coding RNA from Xiphophorus maculatus (southern platyfish), 783 nucleotides. RefSeq lists it as uncharacterized. NCBI's taxonomy places the organism in Eukaryota, Metazoa, Chordata, Actinopteri, Cyprinodontiformes, Poeciliidae. The transcript has 3 exons. The record is from RefSeq and is a predicted model, not a curated record.
GUGAAAUUCGUAAUUCAUACAGGGGAAGGCUAAUUUUAGCAUGUAGCAUAGCUAGUUAUUAUCCCGCAGGGCACCAUUAGAUAAAAAUAGAAAAGUAGAUAACAUGUAUAAUUGAGAAAUGUAUUUUAUGCUCAAACUGUUUUUUAUUUUCAUUAUACAGAUCCACGUAUCUAUUUGCAACAUGAACAUAAAUAUUGCUGUUCCCUUUGCUCAUACAAGCUACAGAACCAUUUAGCACAAACUGCUAUGGUUCAACAUAACGAUGCCUCUGAAUGUUCUUGAAGCUGUUCUCCAGGAGGUGGCGCUAGCACAGGGAGACUCAGCUUACCUCACCUUGGCAUUGACCUGCAAGUGCUUUGAAGCCGUUGUGUCUGAGCCAGUUUUCAGGAAGAAGACUCACUUUGCUUGGCUGGAUGGUGAGAUCAACUGGGGCAAAUUUUCAAAAACAUUCAAGGCAGAAAACCGGAUUCCUUUUGCGGUUGUAACGUGUUUUUCCUGCAACCGGUAAUAUAAAGACUGUGGGCUUCACCGGCAAUGGAAGACAAGGAGAGUACCCUGGUUACUACUGUGAUGGCCGACCUGGACACUGCGCUGACUGUCAAUACUGAAUGCAAGGAGAAUAUUAGUUGCUUUCCACAGUCUUUCACACAUUUCAGUUGUCACACAUUGUUCGUUUUUUUUGUGACAUGCCAUUUUAAAUCAUUUCUGCUAAAGAAUAUUUGCCUUUUGACUUGUGCAGUCAUCCUUUUUAAUAAUGUGUUCUUUCAAUAUUAUUUACAUUUU